This is a non-coding RNA of Myotis brandtii (Brandt's bat), 83 nucleotides long. Lineage: Eukaryota; Metazoa; Chordata; Mammalia; Chiroptera; Vespertilionidae. The record is from Rfam.
AGUCCUCGAAAAAGAGAGGCAGGUUCUGAUUCAUAGCCUCCAUGGCAGCUGUUGAUCAGCACUUGCCUCUCUCUUUCGCUCUG